CCUACGGGUGGCAGCAGUGGGGAAUAUUGGACAAUGGGGGCAACCCUGAUCCAGCCAUGCCGCGUGUGUGAAGAAGGCCCUCGGGUUGUAAAGCACUUUCAGUGAGGAAGAACGCCUGGUGGUUAAUACCCAUCAGGAAAGACAUCACUCACAGAAGAUGCACCGGCUAACUCCGUGCCAGCAGCCGCGGUAAUACGGAGGGUGCGAGCGUUAAUCGGAAUUACUGGGCGUAAAGCGCGCGUAGGUGGCUUGAUAAGCCGGUUGUGAAAGCCCCGGGCUCAACCUGGGAACGGCAUCCGGAACUGUCAAGCUAGAGUGCAGGAGAGGAAGGUAGAAUUCCCGGUGUAGCGGUGAAAUGCGUAGAGAUCGGGAGGAAUACCAGUGGCGAAGGCGGCCUUCUGGACUGACACUGACACUGAGGUGCGAAAGCGUGGGUAGCAAACAGGAUUAGAUACCCUUGUAGUC
This 465-nucleotide ribosomal RNA is filed under the name Vreelandella stevensii. RNAcentral describes it as "partial 16S ribosomal RNA". It matches the Rfam family "Bacterial small subunit ribosomal RNA", at positions 338 to 795 of the family's 1533-position model. Lineage: Bacteria; Pseudomonadati; Pseudomonadota; Gammaproteobacteria; Oceanospirillales; Halomonadaceae. The record is from RNAcentral.